This is a microRNA precursor of Oryza rufipogon (brownbeard rice), 206 nucleotides long. It matches the Rfam family "MIR812 microRNA precursor family". The record is from Rfam. Lineage: Eukaryota; Viridiplantae; Streptophyta; Magnoliopsida; Poales; Poaceae.
AAAAAGUCAAAUCCUAGAUUUCCGUGUCUAACUUUAACUGUCCGUUUUAUAUAAAAUUUUUUUAUAAUUCAUAUUUUUAUUUUUGUUAGAUGAUAAAAUAUGAUUAAUAUUUUAUGCGUGACUUGUCUUUUUAAUUUUUUUCAUAUUUUUUUUCAAAUACGACGGACGGUCAAACGUUGCACAUGCAAACCAGGGUUUGUCUUUUU